RNAcentral lists this ribosomal RNA (234 nucleotides) under uncultured bacterium. RNAcentral's name for it is "partial 16S ribosomal RNA". It matches the Rfam family "Bacterial small subunit ribosomal RNA", at positions 15 to 229 of the family's 1533-position model. The record is from RNAcentral.
GAUCAUGGCUCAGGAUGAACGCUGGCGGCGUGCUUAACACAUGCAAGUCGAACGAAGCACUUUAUUUGAUUUCCUUCGGGACUGAUUAUUUUGUGACUGAGUGGCGGACGGGUGAGUAACGCGUGGGUAACCUGCCUUGUACAGGGGGAUAACAGUUGGAAACGGCUGCUAAUACCGCAUAAGCGCACAGCAUCGCAUGAUGCAGUGUGAAAAACUCCGGUGGUAUAAGAUCGG